RNAcentral lists this ribosomal RNA (431 nucleotides) under Sancus acoreensis. RNAcentral's name for it is "partial 16S ribosomal RNA". The stretch from base 1 to 230 matches the Rfam family "Bacterial large subunit ribosomal RNA", at positions 2409 to 2643 of the family's 2925-position model. Lineage: Eukaryota; Metazoa; Arthropoda; Arachnida; Araneae; Tetragnathidae. The record is from RNAcentral.
GAUUAAGUACUAAAUAGANNNCCCGACANUAGUUGAUUACANUGAACAAGUUACUGUAGGGAUAACAGCGUAAUAUAUAUCUAAAGUUCUUAUUUUGAUAUAAGUUUGCGACCUCGAUGUUGAAUUNAUAUUACUUUCAAGCGCAAGAGCCUGAAAAGUAGGUCUGUUCGACCCCUAAAUAUAUACAUGAUUUGAGUUCAAAUCGGUGUAAACCAGAUUGGUUUCUAUCUAUUNUUAUUUGUGUCUUAGUACGAAAGGACCUGAAACAAUAUUAUAUAAUNAUUUAUAUGGCAGAAAAAUGCUUUAGAUUUAGGAUCUAAUUAUAAUAGAUUAUUAUACUCUAUUUAACUUGCCUAAUCUCUGUUAUUAGAAUCCUUAUCGCAGUAGCUUUUUAUACCCUCCUAGAGCGAAAAAUUCUAAGCUACAUCCAA